GACGAACGCUGGCGGCGUGCUUAACACAUGCAAGUCGAACGGUGAAGCUCCAGCUUGCUGGAGUGGAUCAGUGGCGAACGGGUGAGUAACACGUGAGCAACCUGCCCCUGACUCUGGAAUAAGCGCUGGAAACGGCGUCUAAUACUGGAUACGAGAAGGGUCCGCAUGGGGACUUUCUGGAAAGUUUUUCGGUUGGGGAUGGGCUCGCGGCCUAUCAGCUUGUUGGUGAGGUAAUGGCUCACCAAGGCGACGACGGGUAGCCGGCCUGAGAGGGCGACCGGCCACACUGGGACUGAGACACGGCCCAGACUCCUACGGGAGGCAGCAGUGGGGAAUAUUGCACAAUGGGCGAAAGCCUGAUGCAGCGACGCCGCGUGAGGGAUGACGGCCUUCGGGUUGUAAACCUCUUUCAGCAGGGAAGAAGCGAAAGUGACGGUACCUGCAGAAGAAGCACCGGCUAACUACGUG
Molecule: ribosomal RNA, 468 nt
Filed under: uncultured bacterium
Lineage: Bacteria
Description: partial 16S ribosomal RNA
Rfam family: Bacterial small subunit ribosomal RNA
Source: RNAcentral